RNAcentral lists this ribosomal RNA (253 nucleotides) under uncultured bacterium. RNAcentral's name for it is "partial 16S ribosomal RNA". It matches the Rfam family "Bacterial small subunit ribosomal RNA", at positions 524 to 776 of the family's 1533-position model. The record is from RNAcentral.
UACAGAGGUGGAAAGCGUUGUUCGGAAUUACUGGGCGUAAAGGGCGCGUAGGCGGCCUUCUAAGUCGGACGUGAAAGCCCCAGGCUUAACCUGGGAACUGCGUCCGAUACUGGGAGGCUUGGAUUCGGGAGAGGGAUGUGGAAUUCCAGGUGUAGCGGUGAAAUGCGUAGAUAUCUGGAGGAACACCGGUGGCGAAGGCGGCAUCCUGGACCGAGAUCGACGCUGAGGCGCGAAAGCUAGGGGAGCAAACGGG